Molecule: ribosomal RNA, 207 nt
Filed under: uncultured bacterium
Lineage: Bacteria
Description: partial 16S ribosomal RNA
Rfam family: Bacterial small subunit ribosomal RNA
Source: RNAcentral
CACGUAGGCGGCCGCGCAAGUUGGAUGUGAAAGCCCAGGGCUCAACCUUGGAAGUGCACCCAAAACUGCGUGGCUUGAGUUCCGGAGGGGCCCAGAGAAUUCCCGGUGUAGAGGUGAAAUUCGUAGAUAUCGGGAGGAAUACCAGUGGCGAAGGCGCUGGGCUGGACGGAUACUAACGCUGAGGUGCGAAAGCGUGGGGAGCAAACA